GCAGCCUGAUGCAGCAACGCCGCGUGAGGGACGACGGCCAUCGGGUUGUAAACCUCUUUUAGCAGGGAAGAAGCGAAAGUGACGGUACCUGCAGAAAAAGCACCGGCUAACUACGUGCCAGCAGCCGCGGUAAUACGUAGGGUGCAAGCGUUAUCCGGAAUUAUUGGGCGUAAAGAGCUCGUAGGCGGUUUGUCGCGUCUGCUGUGAAAACCCGAGGCUCAACCUCGGGCCUGCAGUGGGUACGGGCAAACUAGAGUGCGGUAGGGGAGAUUGGAAUUCCUGGUGUAGCGGUGGAAUGCGCAGAUAUCAGGAGGAACACCGAUGGCGAAGGCAGAUCUCUGGGCCGUAACUGACGCUGAGGAGCGAAAGCAUGGGGAGCGAACAGGAUUAGAUACCCUGGUAGUCCAUGCCGUAAACGUUGGGAACUAGAUGUGGGGGCCAUUCCACGGCUUCCGUGUCGCAGCUAACGCAUUAAGUUCCCCGCCUGGGGAGUACGGCCGCAAGGCUAAAACUCAAAGGAAUUGACGGGGGCCCGCACAAGCGGCGGAGCAUGCGGAUUAAUUCGAUGCAACGCGAAGAACCUUACCAAGGCUUGACAUAUACGAGAACGCUGCAGAAAUGUAGAACUCUUUGGAC
RNAcentral lists this ribosomal RNA (636 nucleotides) under Microbacteriaceae bacterium Ri3Pw_6197. Its description in RNAcentral is "bacterial SSU rRNA". It matches the Rfam family "Bacterial small subunit ribosomal RNA", at positions 378 to 1027 of the family's 1533-position model. The record is from RNAcentral. Lineage: Bacteria; Bacillati; Actinomycetota; Actinomycetes; Micrococcales; Microbacteriaceae.